Molecule: ribosomal RNA, 2838 nt
Filed under: Escherichia coli
Lineage: Bacteria; Pseudomonadati; Pseudomonadota; Gammaproteobacteria; Enterobacterales; Enterobacteriaceae
Description: 23S ribosomal RNA
Rfam family: Bacterial large subunit ribosomal RNA
Source: RNAcentral
GGGUUGUGAGGUUAAGCGACUAAGCGUACACGGUGGAUGCCCUGGCAGUCAGAGGCGAUGAAGGACGUGCUAAUCUGCGAUAAGCGUCGGUGAGGUGAUAUGAACCGUUAUAACCGGCGAUUUCCGAAUGGGGAAACCCAGUGUGUUUCGACACACUAUCAUUAACUGAAUCCAUAGGUUAAUGAGGCGAACCGGGGGAACUGAAACAUCUAAGUACCCCGAGGAAAAGAAAUCAACCGAGAUUCCCCAGUAGCGGCGAGCGAACGGGAGGCAGAGCCUGAAUCAGUGUGUUGUGGAAGCGUCUGGAAGGCGCGCGAUACAGGUGACAGCCCGUACACAAAAUGCACAUAUUGUGAGCUCGAUGAGUAGGGCGGACACGUGGUAUCCUGUCUGAAUAUGGGGACCAUCCUCAAGGCUAAAUACUCCUGACUGACCGAUAGUGAACCAGUACCGUGAGGAAAGGCGAAAGAACCCGGCGAGGGGUGAAAAGAACCUGAAACCGUGUACGUACAAGCAGUGGGAGCCUCUUAAUGGGGUGACUGCGUACCUUUUGUAUAAUGGGUCAGCGACUUAUAUUCUGUAGCAAGGUUAACCGAAUAGGGGAGCCGAAGGGAAACCGAGUCUUAACUGGGCGUUAAGUUGCAGGGUAUAGACCCGAAACCCGGUGAUCAGCCAUGGGCAGGUUGAAGGUUGGUAACACUAACUGGAGGACCGAACCGACUAAUGUUGAAAAUUAGCGGAUGACUUGUGGCUGGGGGUGAAAGGCCAAUCAAACCGGGAGAUAGCUGGUUCUCCCCGAAAGCUAUUUAGGUAGCGCCUCGUGAAUUCAUCUCCGGGGGUAGAGCACUGUUUCGGCAAGGGGUCAUCCGACUUACCAACCGAUGCAAACUGCGAAUACCGGAGAAUGUUAUCACGGAGACACACGGCGGUGCUAACGUCCGUCGUGAAGAGGAAACAACCCAGACCGCCAGCUAAGGUCCCAAAGUCAUGGUUAAGGGAAACGAUGUGGAAGGCCCAGACAGCCGGAUGUUGGCUUAGAAGCAGCCAUCAUUUAAAGCGUAAUAGCUCACUGGUCGAGUCGGCCUGCGCGGAAGAUGUAACGGGCUAAACCAUGCACCGAAGCUGCGGCAGCGACACUAUGUGUUGUUGGGUAGGGAGCGUUCUGUAAGCCUGUGAAGGUGGUACCUGUGAGGUUGCUGGAGGUAUCAGAAGUGCGAAUGCUGACAUAAGUAACGAUAAAGCGGGUGAAAAGCCCGCUCGCCGGAAGACCAAGGGUUCCUGUCAACGUUAAUCGGGGCAGGGUGAGUCGACCCUAAGGCGAGGCCGAAAGGCGUAGUCGAUGGGAAACAGGUUAAUAUUCCUGUACUUGGUGUUACUGCGAAGGGGGGACGGAGAAGGCUAUGUUGGCCGGGCGACGGUUGUCCCGGUUUAAGCGUGUAGGCUGGUUUUCGAGCAAAUCCGGAAAAUCAAGGCUGAGGCGUGAUGACGAGGCACUACGGUGCUGAAGCGACAAAUGCCCUGCUUCCAGGAAAAGCCUCUAAGCAUCAGGUAACAUCAAAUCGUACCCCAAACCGACACAGGUGGUCAGGUAGAGAAUACCAAGGCGCUUGAGAGAACUGUGAAGGAACUAGGCAAAAUGGUGCCGUAACUUCGGGAGAAGGCACGCUGAUAUGUAGGUGAAGCGACUUGCUCGUGGAGCUGAAAUCAGUCGAAGAUACCAGCUGGCUGCAACUGUUUAUUAAAAACACAGCACUGUGCAAACACGAAAGUGGACGUAUACGGUGUGACGCCUGCCCGGUGCCGGAAGGUUAAUUGAUGGGGUUAGCGGUAACGCGAAGCUCUUGAUCGAAGCCCCGGUAAACGGCGGCCGUAACUAUAACGGUCCUAAGGUAGCGAAAUUCCUUGUCGGGUAAGUUCCGACCUGCACGAAUGGCGUAAUGAUGGCCAGGCUGUCUCACCCGAGACUCAGUGAAAUUGAACUCGCUGUGAAGAUGCAGUGUACCCGCGGCAAGACGGAAGACCCGUGAACCUUUACUAUAGCUUGACACUGAACAUUGAGCCUUGAUGUAGGAUAGGUGGGAGGCUUUGAAGUGUGGACGCCAGUCUGCAUGGAGCCGACCUUGAAAUACCACCCUUUAAUGUUUGAUGUUCUAACGUGGGCCCCUUACCGGGGUUGCGGACAGUGUCUGGUGGGUAGUUUGACUGGGGCGGUCUCCUCCUAAAGAGUAACGGAGGCACGAAGGUUGGCUAAUCUGGUCGGACAUCAGGAGGUUAGUGCAAUGGCAUAAGCCAGCUUGACUGCGAGCGUGACGGCGCGAGCAGGUGCUGCAGGUCAUAGUGAUCCGGUGGUUCUGAAUGGAAGGGCCAUCGCUCAACGGAUAAAAGGUACUCCGGGAUAACAGGCUGAUACCCAAGAGUUCAUAUCGACGGCGGUGUUUGGCACCUCGAUGUCGGCUCAUCACACGGGCUGAAGUAGGUCCCAAGGGUAUGGCUGUUCGCCAUUUAAAGUGGUACGCGAGCUGGGUUUAGAACGUCGUGAGACAGUUCGGUCUAUCUGCCGUGGGCGCUGGAGAACUGAGGGCUGCUCCUAGUACGAGAGGACCGGUGGACGCAUCACUGGUGUUCGGGUUGUCAUGCCAAUGGCACUGCCCGGUAGCUAAAUGCGGAAGAGAUAAGUGCUGAAAGCAUCUAAGCUGAAAACGAGAUGAGUUCUCUGACUCCUUGAGAGUCCUGAAGGAACGUUGAAGACGACGACGUUGAUAGGCCGGGUGUGUAAGCGCAGCGAUGCGUUGAGCUAACCGGUACUAAUGAACCGUGAGGCUUAACACAACGCCGAAG